UAGCACCUACGGGGGGCAGCAGUGGGGAAUCUUCCACAAUGGGCGAAAGCCUGAUGGAGCAACGCCGCGUGGGUGAAGAAGGUGUUCGGAUCGUAAAACCCUGUUGUUAGAGAAGAGAGUGCGUGAGAGUAACUGUUCACGUUUCGACGGUAUCUAACCAGAAAGCCACGGCUAACUACGUGCCAGCAGCCGCGGUAAUACGUAGGUGGCAAGCGUUGUCCGGAUUUAUUGGGCGUAAAGGGAACGCAGGCGGUCUUUUAAGCCUGAUGUGAAAGACUUCGGCUUAACCGGAGU
This 294-nucleotide ribosomal RNA is filed under the name uncultured bacterium. Its description in RNAcentral is "partial 16S ribosomal RNA". It matches the Rfam family "Bacterial small subunit ribosomal RNA", at positions 333 to 619 of the family's 1533-position model. The record is from RNAcentral.